Molecule: transfer RNA, 64 nt
Filed under: Argulus japonicus
Lineage: Eukaryota; Metazoa; Arthropoda; Ichthyostraca; Arguloida; Argulidae
Description: tRNA-Val
Rfam family: tRNA
About the family: Transfer RNA (tRNA) molecules are approximately 80 nucleotides in length. Their secondary structure includes four short double-helical elements and three loops (D, anti-codon, and T loops).
Source: RNAcentral
UAAGAUAUAGCUUAUAUGUAGAGCGAUUUGCUUACAACAAAUAGGAAUAAUAAUAUUAUCUUAA